GGGCGCUUAGCUCAGUGGGAGAGCGUCCGCCUUACACGCGGAAGGCCAGAGGUUCGAAUCCUCUAGCGCCCACCA
Molecule: transfer RNA, 75 nt
Filed under: Pseudomonadota bacterium
Lineage: Bacteria; Pseudomonadati; Pseudomonadota
Also listed under: 4 other names
Description: tRNA-Val
Rfam family: tRNA
About the family: Transfer RNA (tRNA) molecules are approximately 80 nucleotides in length. Their secondary structure includes four short double-helical elements and three loops (D, anti-codon, and T loops).
Source: RNAcentral